Molecule: long non-coding RNA, 252 nt
Filed under: Heterocephalus glaber (naked mole-rat)
Lineage: Eukaryota; Metazoa; Chordata; Mammalia; Rodentia; Bathyergidae
Description: lncRNA (ENSHGLG00100049793.1)
Source: RNAcentral
UGACAAUUGAGAGUCCCUGCUUAAGCUUGAAUAAACGACCCUUGUGUGCUUACAUCGGAAACGGCCUCCUGGUGGUCUUUGGGACCUCACAAUCUGGGCACAACAUUUGGGGGCUCGUCCGGGAUCCCAAGACCUUCAGGACUCCCGUACCGGAGGGUCAACGCCGGCUGCCUCCAAAGUGUGCAUGAGGACGUCUGGCCUAAAUUAGAAGCCUUAUACCAAACUGGACCGCCUCCCGAGCCCCAUCGCUAU